This 253-nucleotide ribosomal RNA is filed under the name uncultured bacterium. Its description in RNAcentral is "partial 16S ribosomal RNA". It matches the Rfam family "Bacterial small subunit ribosomal RNA", at positions 524 to 776 of the family's 1533-position model. The record is from RNAcentral.
UACAGAGGUCUCAACCGUUGUUCGGAUUCAUUGGGCGUAAAGGGUGCGUAGGCGGUCGCGCAAGUCGGAUGUGAAAUCUUAGGGCUCAACCCUGAAACUGCAUUCGAUACUGCGUGGCUCGAGUACUGGAGAGGAGACUGGAAUUUACGGUGUAGCAGUGAAAUGCGUAGAUAUCUGGAGGAACACCGGUGGCGAAGGCGGCAUCCUGGACCGGUAUUGACGCUGAGGCGCGAAAGCUAGGGGAGCAAACGGG